GUCGUACAUGCAUCACUAUGUCCCGUAUCAUCGUCGGGAUUCCCGCCAAACUCUGUGUGUCAACCGAGCUCUGGUGUUACUGUUGGCGUGACCGUCGAAUAAUCAAGAGGCGUUCCCGAGCUCGGGUAGGGUUCAUUCCUAUACUUAUACCGAGCUCAGCCUCACGGUAUAACAUUGUUUUUCUGCGACGUAGGUCGACACCGAGAUGAACAGCCCCUGUAUAGUGGUGAAGACUUUCCAGUUCCAUCUCCCCGUGCCUUCUAGUAGCUGGGUAACUUAUUCAUAUGUCUCGUGUCCCUACAACAAGAAUAGUUUUCUAAUACUUAGCAUAGUUUUCUAAUACUUAGCUUCCCUCUUAGAGAAGAAUAAAAUAGUGGGUAUAAAGCAGUACACUACUAUUCCAGAAUUUUCCAAAUUGACGUAUCCUUAAUGCAUCACACAUGUCUGAUAUUCACAUCCAUAAAAAAAAAAUUAGCACUUCUAUUCAUCAACUUUUCAACCGUCAAAGUUAGAUAAUAAUUAUUCUUUGUAACUAUUGUGUCGCUGCUGUAUCCGUAUCCUAGUUUUUUAGAUUUGGGCAUAUCGCCAUACCCUAUAGUGUGUUCGUGCUUCCUAGACUAAAUCUAAGUUCAAAAAAUCUAAGUUCAAAAAUGAACAUUUUUGAGCUGGUAAGUAGUUAAAUUCCAAAUAGAGCUUCUGGAUGUUGCUAUGAAAUUGCAGAAUCAAUUGAAAUGCUCACUAACACAUCCAAACACCCAAUAAUUAAAGAAAAUCAGAGAAGUAAAUUGACCCAACGAGCAGAAUCUGCGAGUAGCAAAUUACGAAUAGAGAAACUAACAAAACCCUAAACACUCGAAACAACUUCUGAUCUCACGACUCAAUAUGUGUACACACACUGGUUUUGAGUUGAACCCUAAGAUCAAAUGUAAUAUAUAUAUAUAUAUAUAUAUAUAUAUAUAGAGAGAGAGAGAGAGAGAGAGAGAGAGGUCACCAUUUUCUUCUGUAGGAUGGAGCUCUUUAGAGAAGACAGAGAGGGCAAGCGGAAGAAUGAUUGAAGUGUUCGAACGACGCGAGUUGUAUAUAGUACGGGAAUUUUCAGAUCAGUGGGUAUUAGGAAAAAUAUUUUUCUCAAAUACAUGACAAUGGUAUACACUUUGUCAUAUUCUUGCAAAUAUUUUUUAGAGUUACCAUUAUUUGUAAUUCUCCGAUGUAAUAAUAUACCAGCCCACCAGAGAAAUUUGGAAAAUGUUUUGUUUUUAAAGAUAGGGAAAAUGUUUUAAUUUUUAUACAGAAAAUACUAGAAAAAAUGGGAAAUGUUUUUUUUUAAUAGGG
RNAcentral lists this long non-coding RNA (1332 nucleotides) under Actinidia chinensis (golden kiwifruit). Its description in RNAcentral is "long non-coding RNA (ACHI_LNC008522)". The record is from RNAcentral. Lineage: Eukaryota; Viridiplantae; Streptophyta; Magnoliopsida; Ericales; Actinidiaceae.